AUGCUUCGGUUCCGAGCCGUUUCGGAUCUCUUAGAAUCCGACGGGCUCAGGUUUACGUCCGUGCAAGGCUUGUAUUUAACUUCCAGGUCGUCAACUUUCACCCAAUGCUCGCCGACUCCUUCCUCCAAAUUCCUCUUCUUCUUCUUCUUCUUUUUCUUCUUCUUCUUCUUCCUCUUCUUCUUCCUCUUCUUCUUCCUCUUCUUCUCCUUCUUCUCCUUCUUCUCCUUCUUCUCCUUCUCCUCCUCCUUCUUCUUCUUCUUCUUCUUCUUUCAAAUUGCUGAAAAUGGCAAAUCAAUGUUAAGUAUUGUAGCACCGUAUUUUUCUGUUUCUUCCUCAUUCAAGAAGACACACCGUAUGAGCAUUUGAGGGUUGCGAAAUUCCUCGGAAAAAUGAUAAUUCUCAAGGAGCUUCAUGAAUAUGUUCCUUCUCAACCGUCGGACAUGCUGCGGAUUAAAUUGUGAGGAGAAUGAGCAAUUAGAAAAGUACUGAACUAAAAGCAAACGUCACAUGUUCUCAUUUCAAAAUCUUACGUAGAAAGCUAUUUACACAAGAAGUUUGGAAACCAACUCCUGAACGAGAUGGCAACAAAAGGUUUCAAACAGAUCAAGAGAAAGUUAGAUUAUAUAAUGAUGUAAUUUUUUGCCAUUUAACCAAUUCUAAUUGUAAACACUUAUUUCGUGUCUGAGAUAGUUAAUUUUCAGACUUCCCGUCCUUUGAUUCGGUUUCCUAAUGAGAUAUUGAGGAGGCAACAUGAUACGCAGUGUUUUGACUCAUACUUUAUCUGGUAGCUCAUUGUGUGAAACAUGCUAAGGAAAAUAGACGUAUAUUACAUGCAAAUUCAGUUUUACAUCAUUAAAAAGACAGCGACUCAGAGCAGAGCUAUAUGACCAAUUAAUAACGCACUGCUUGCAAUUUCGAAGGAAAAACAUAUCCGAAGUGCCUUCAAUUUUGCGUAUAUGCAAUAUGGAGCAUCUUUUGAGCUCGAAUAUUUGCAGCAAAGCGUUGAAAUUAGCAAAUCCAAAGCGCUUUUAAUUUUUCAUACCCGGAGCAUAAAAAUUUCGCAGAAAGUACAAUGGUGCCAUUGAUUAUCUUUAAAAUCAACUGCCAAUUUAAACAGAUUUAAAAAGGCUAAAAGGGAAGGUCAUAUUGGAGGACCUCUCGAAAAUAGAUAUGAGAGGCUGAAAUGAAGGUCCAGGAGGCGGCUCUUGCAACAAUAAAAAAACUGUUUUCCCUGUCCAAAUUCCUUGUAAGUAAUCCCAAAUUCUAUGAAUUUUCUUCCCUCACUUUAAAAAAAAAAUGUCAGUAAGCUUCAAGAAGAUAUUUUGGUUGGUAGUUUACUUUCCGACAAAAAUGACGAUAAAAUGAGAAAAUUUGACAUAGUUGGAGAUUUGACACGUUGCAAUAGAACUACGCACUUUUUUACUUUAGCCGUCAGUGUGGUAGGUUAAUGAGCGAUGUGCGACCAUAGAGAUUCGUCCCUUCCCACAUAACAGAUUAAAAUGGUCAUCUUACCAAAAAUGGAUUUAGAACGUUCACAGGGAUCGAUACUUGAGUCCAUUUAGCAGCUGUUGAUUUUUUAGGAAUUCGACGACGAAAGACAUCAACGGACCAAAUGACCAAACGCAGAUUUUGCGCUGUAUUCGAGAAAUCCGGAAUUAAAAGGUGACUUCAGCUCCAUCUUCUUUAACUAAAUCAACAAGUAAUUUAGAACUAGAUAUAAACAUUUAUAAUUAAAAACUAAAAUGAAAUCAUGUUUAAUAUCCAGACGCAUUACUCUGAAUUAGUUGCUUCGCCAUUUUUGCAACAAUCGAGUACCUAGUGAAAGCUCUGAAAGUCUUACCACCAUCCCUCUCAACAACUUCAUACAAAAUAUGAGGAAUGUGUUGAAGAAAAGUGUAAAAUCACCAAGACAAUGAGAAAAUUGGACGUAGUUCUACCAAACAGACCUAUGUGCAAGUGAGAAAUAUGGGGUGUGCUCGUUAGUUCUCUUGGCGUAAGAGUGAAUGAGAAUAAUAAAGCGCCAGUGACGUCAGCGGCGAUGAAGGAGACGACGAUCCGCGGAUCUGCGUCUUUAACUCAUGAGCCCUGUCCACAAGGCUCUCUUGCCAUGCCCGCGGCUCAUGAAUCCCGCAUUCAGUUGGCACAUAGGUCUGUUUGAUAGAAUGUAAUAUCCCGCUUUUCCAAUUCUUCAAAAGGAAUCACGCCCACUUUUACAUUGCUUCAUAUGCAGAUUUCUAGAGCACACCCCAUAUUUCUCACUUGCACAUAGGUCUGUUUGGUAGAACUACGUCCAAUUAGAGGUACACGUUUACUGGUUACGCAUUGAAAUCAGUUUAUCCAAACCUCCCUUUCAAUCUUGAAGAAACCAAAAUAGGCCAAUAAUGCGCAUAUCACCAGCACAAGAGCAUAAGACUCUCCCAGUGCACUCUAGCAUUUAGUGACAUCACUAAAACAUCACAUACCCAAUUAGCAUUUCUCAACGGAGUGAAGUAGCACUAGUUUGUUACAGUAUAAAGCACAAACAUGAAUUAAAAAAUCCCGUGUUUUAAUAUCCAUCAAAUCUGGCCCGGAACCGGUUUAUUGAUAGCAAAACACACAGAACACUGGAAAAAAACACACAUUGGAUCUAGUGUCCAGACUCUUGAAAACAUUGACGAGAAAGAGGAUUCUUGAUUCAAACAGAUUUAAGCUUAAAUCAAAAGGAAAUCCGCUCAAAUUAAGAGGCUUGGUUCUUGAUUUAAGCUGAAAUCUGAUUGAAUCAAGAGUAUUUUUUCUUGUCGAUGUUUUCAAGAGUCUGGACUCUAAAUCCAAUGUGUUUUUUUUCCAGUGUGUAUUUUCUUUUAGCAUAUGAUUUUAGAUGAAAAUGAUCCGUACAGAGUUUACAGACAUUUCAAAAUGCUGCAAAAUGCUUACUCCUUGAGAUUGAGUAUUAGAACCAAACUCAACAGUGCGGCCAGCGCAAGACGCGUGUUAGCGCCUAAAAGACGCCAAUAAUUCUUCACGCUAUGCGCAUACACACCGUAGUGUGCGCGCAAUGCGUGAAGUAUCCUCUGUGGUGUGCGCGCAAUGCGAGAAGUACAUUUCCAACUGAGGUUUGAAUCCACCUAAGUUUUGGUCAGCUCCAAUAAUCGUUUAGAUGACUUUUAACUCUUUUUUUUCUCCCGGGAUUCGCACAGAUUCAGCGAAUGAAAACUGUUUCAUAAUCACAGAGCGAUGAAUGUAGGAGAUGAAGGAGAGGCAGAUGGGAUCAAAGGUGAUAUUCUGAUAUUUCAAAACUACUGAAACUGCAAAAUAGCGUUUUUCUGGAUAAAAAAGC
Molecule: long non-coding RNA, 3316 nt
Filed under: Bemisia tabaci
Lineage: Eukaryota; Metazoa; Arthropoda; Insecta; Hemiptera; Aleyrodidae
Description: lncRNA ENSSSA1NGG002594
Source: RNAcentral